UACGAGGGGUGCAAGCGUUGCUCGGAAUUAUUGGGCGUAAAGGGUAGGUAGGUGGUCUCAUUUGUCUGGGGUGAAAGCCUUGAGCUUAACUCAAGAAGUGCCCCGGAAACGGUGAGACUGGAGUCCUGGAGAGGGUCGUGGAAUUCCCGGUGUAGCGGUGAAAUGCGUAGAGAUCGGGAGGAACACCUGUGGUGUAGACAGCUUACUGGACCACUUCUGACGCUGAGACACGAAAGCGUGGGUAGCAAACAGG
RNAcentral lists this ribosomal RNA (253 nucleotides) under uncultured bacterium. RNAcentral describes it as "partial 16S ribosomal RNA". It matches the Rfam family "Bacterial small subunit ribosomal RNA", at positions 524 to 776 of the family's 1533-position model. The record is from RNAcentral.